UACAGAGGUCUCAAGCGGUGUUCGGAUUCAUUGGGCGUAAAGGGUGCGUAGGCGGCGCGGUAAGUCGGGUGUGAAAUCUCGGAGCUUAACUCCGAAACUGCAUUCGAUACUGCCGUGCUUGAGGACUGGAGAGGAGACUGGAAUUUACGGUGUAGCGGUGAAAUGCGUAGAUAUCGUAAGGAAGACCAGUGGCGAAGGCGGGUCUCUGGACAGUUCCUGACGCUGAGGCACGAAGGUCAGGGGAGCAAACGGG
This 253-nucleotide ribosomal RNA is filed under the name uncultured bacterium. Its description in RNAcentral is "partial 16S ribosomal RNA". It matches the Rfam family "Bacterial small subunit ribosomal RNA", at positions 524 to 776 of the family's 1533-position model. The record is from RNAcentral.